UCAGAGGGGGGUAGAAUUNCACGUGUAGCAGUGAAAUGCGUAGAGAUGUGGAGGAAUACCGAUGGCGAAGGCAGCCCCCUGGGAUAAUACUGACGUUCAUGCUCGAAAGCGUGGGUAGCAAACAGGAUUAGAUACCCUGGUAGUCCACGCCCUAAACGAUGUCGAUUAGCUGUUGGGCAGCUUGACUGCUUAGUAGCGUAGCUAACGCGUGAAAUCGACCGCCUGGGGAGUACGGUCGCAAGAUUAAAACUCAAAGGAAUUGACGGGGACCCGCACAAGCGGUGGAUGAUGUGGAUUAAUUCGAUGCAACGCGAAGAACCUUACCUGGUCUUGACAUGUACGGAACCCUCCAGAGACGGAGGGGUGCCUUCGGGAACCGUAACACAGGUGCUGCAUGGCUGUCGUCAGCUCGUGUCGUGAGAUGUCGGGUUAAGUCCCGCAACGAGCGCAACCCUUGUCAUUAGUUGCCAUCAUUCAGUUGGGCACUCUAAUGAGACUGCCGGUGACAAACCGGAGGAAGGUGGGGAUGACGUCAAGUCCUCAUGGCCCUUAUGACCAGGGCUUCACACGUCAUACAAUGGUCGGUACAAAGGGUAGCCAAGCCGCGAGGCGGAGCCAAUCUCAUAAAACCGAUCGUAGUCCGGAUUGCACUCUGCAACUCGAGUGCAUGAAGUCGGAAUCGCUAGUAAUCGCAGGUCAGCAUACUGCGGUGAAUACGUUCCCGGGUCUUGUACACA
RNAcentral lists this ribosomal RNA (737 nucleotides) under uncultured bacterium. RNAcentral's name for it is "bacterial SSU rRNA". It matches the Rfam family "Bacterial small subunit ribosomal RNA", at positions 651 to 1389 of the family's 1533-position model. The record is from RNAcentral.